This 592-nucleotide long non-coding RNA is filed under the name Hordeum vulgare. RNAcentral describes it as "long non-coding RNA (HVUL_LNC012598)". The record is from RNAcentral. Lineage: Eukaryota; Viridiplantae; Streptophyta; Magnoliopsida; Poales; Poaceae.
AACCUAUCACUCUCAAAGAAUGGGUAAAAAGAAUUCAAGCUAGGGGAGCCUACACUCUCUAACUACCUAUACUACGCCCCCAUUGAUUGGAAACCCUCGGGGAAAAUGAUCCCAUAAACAAAGGAAUUAUACAAUACGAAAUAGCAAAAAAAACAGACUAAUUCGAUUCUAAAAAUUCGAUAAAAGAUAUUUUAUUCUGCUCAAAUUGUCCCGACAAGGAGAGAUAUUCAAUAUUUGAAUCAGAUUGGAUUUCGUAGUAUACCAAUGUGAGCCAAACUAUUACUAUUUCAUCUAACUUGAAUAACCAAGGACUGAAUUUGACUAUGGAUUCUGAUAACUCGAGAAGUUUUUAUUUGGUUAUGAUCCAAAAAUAAAAAAAGAAAGGUUUAACAAGCCAUGAGAAAAUAGAGUAAAGUAACCAUACGUUCUGUUUGCAUAACGUGUAUACGCCACGCCAUACAAUCGAAAUAGAAACAUGGGACGAUUCUAGAAUUUUGAAUAGAUACGUGGGGAUGAGAGAAGUUGUUGUUGAGAAAUAUGAAAUUGGAAAGGAAGUCAAACUCCCUAUGGAACCUGUGAUCGGUUGUACCUG